RNAcentral lists this long non-coding RNA (570 nucleotides) under Vigna radiata. Its description in RNAcentral is "long non-coding RNA (VRAD_LNC004420)". Lineage: Eukaryota; Viridiplantae; Streptophyta; Magnoliopsida; Fabales; Fabaceae. The record is from RNAcentral.
AAGAAUCUAAUAGAAAGGGUCCUAAGAGGUAGUGGCUGGAUCCUCUGUCUCCAAAGCUUGCUCCAGGGAAACAUCCUUUGACUCUGCUCACAUCCAAAGGAUUGGAUGAUCAUCGCAAGGGGGAGGGCAAGCACAUACAACAAACACAAUGCAAGGGUAAGCUAGGUAUAAAAAGCAUGUUAUCAAUCAAGUAUAUCAAGCAUGUAAUGACAAUAAUACAACACAAACUGUAACUGAAUGCAUUUUAUUGAUACCAAGGACAGACCACGUGAUUUGACCAUGCGGACUAGUAUGAAAUGUCGAGUUCCAGGGGUUUGUGCACUUGUGGUGGCCCUACUGCUUUGCAAAGCCAUUGCCGAGGGGUUUCACCCGACCACACACAAGUGUAAGUCCAACCAAACUCAUCUUGGCCCAUAUAAAAUGGAGACACCCAAGACUAGAACCUCCUCCUAUUCUCACCACAUGACUCAUCACUCUCUAAUUGAGCAUGGAUGGUCAUUAGAAUGUCAAGGUAAACCCCAUCCUGAACUCCGACCAUUCAUACGGUCAAUCACAACAACUACAGGGCAC